Molecule: long non-coding RNA, 1710 nt
Organism: Capsicum annuum
Lineage: Eukaryota; Viridiplantae; Streptophyta; Magnoliopsida; Solanales; Solanaceae
Exons: 4
Source: RefSeq, a predicted model, not a curated record
AAUUAAAUCACAAUAAUGGACCAACCCAUUAUACAAUUAAACAUUGUAGUCCAAUUUAUCAUACCCAGCCCAACCCGGAUCCAAUAUUAACAACAAAUAUAAUCAGUGAAUUCCCUAAAAUAGAUAACUUUCCUAGUCCCUAAAUCAUUCACGUCGCCUUUCACCAUUUUACUCUCUUUCUUCGAAUCUGGUUCAAUUGUUACUCUGGAGCUUUUUGUCGACGCUUCUCCUUCAGAUUCACCUUCUGCUAUGUAUGAGACUCGAAACAAUAUUUUUUAGCAUCUCUGAUGGCUCUAUUCAACAAGGUUAAACUGUUACUCCAGAUCUGGACACUCUAACGAUAAGGGAAGCCUGGAUCUCAAAGAAUGUAUGUUCUGCUUUACAAUCAGGUUUCCAAUAGCUUAUCUGAAAUAGCUAAAUGAGAGAUCCCUUCAAGCACCAUUAUGUCAUCUGUUUCUCCAUGCCACAACUGCAUUUGCUUCUUUUUUUCAUCCUUCUUCAAACCUUCAUUGGUACCAUCCUUCAGUUUCUCUAUUCUGUUUUGAGUACUCUCAUCCUGCUGAAUAUCCCUUUAUUGUUCUCUUUUUCCUUGUCACUCCUAUUAUUUGUUGGCUCCCCUUUUUCCACUUCUGGAGUCUUUCCAAAACUUUGGUUAACCCAAUCAUUAGUACUGCUACUUGGCCUUCCUUCUGUUUCUCUGUGUCUGCAAUUGCUGAAUCAGUCACUUCUUCUUGAUCUUCUUUGUCCUUUAAGGAAUUAAAAGAAUUGGACAUUUGAAUAUCCUCAUCAUUAUUUUCAUUUACCUCUUCUAUAAUCCGACGAGACCUAUCCUUUCUAAAUUUAUUCUUCCUUGUAAGCCACUGAUACUUAUUGUUGUUUUCUCUUCUGAAUUUAUUCUGAUGCUGAGGUUGCUGAUUCUUUUGUUCACCAAAAUCCUUAUUCUUAGUAUUUUUUUCUGUCUCCUUACUCCUCUCCUUCUUCUUUUCAUAUAAUUUUGGGUGAAUUUUCCAACAACUUCCCUCAUUAUGCCCUUGUAAACAACAAUCUUGACAAUACUUAGGCAUAUAAUCAUACUGGAUCUUUAUCCAUUUAAACUUUAUUUCCCCAGUAAGAUCAUUCUCUUCAUUUAUUUGUAUCCUUUGUGGCAAUGUUGCAAGUAAAUCCACCUACAUUUUAACUCAUGCACAACCAGGCCUAGUGUGAUUUUUAGUAGCCAUAUCCACUGUGAGUGGCCUCCCUACUGCUGCUGCUAUUGAGAAGAUUGCAUUUUUUGCAAAGAAAUUUGGAGGAAGAUCUGGCAUUGAAAUCUAUGCUACUGCUAUUGAAGUUUCAACAUCGGCCUCAAACCAUGGAUCCCACUUCAGAGUUCUCAUUUGCCAAUAUCUCUCCUUCGAAUUAAUGUAAAAGGCUAUUGUUGAUAAUAAUUGAACAUAAUCUUAUAGCAUCUCUAGCCUUAUUAAUACAUGUCUUUCAUCCAACAUGCCUAUAAUGCAUUGACCUUUGAUUCCACACCGAUUUGGAAUCAUUUUUCUCGACGUGAGGCUUGCCAUGCAAAAAUUUACCUAUAAUUGCAUAUUGAAGUUUUUCUUGUAUUAUUAAGUUUUGAACUUUGGAUGAUUUCCACGUAAUAUUUCGGUGGGAUAGUCAUACCGUCCAAAGUGUGUAUCAGUAAUACAAAUCUCAUCCUAAUGCACAAGUCUUAUUUCGAUA